This 392-nucleotide ribosomal RNA is filed under the name uncultured bacterium. RNAcentral describes it as "partial 16S ribosomal RNA". It matches the Rfam family "Bacterial small subunit ribosomal RNA", at positions 523 to 918 of the family's 1533-position model. The record is from RNAcentral.
AUACGGAGGAUCCGAGCGUUAUCCGGAUUUAUUGGGUUUAAAGGGUGCGCAGGCGGCCAUUUAAGUCAGCGGUUAAAUCGUGGGGCUCAACCCCAUUCUGCCGUUGAUACUGGGUGGCUUGAUUGCGGUCGAGGUUGGCGGAAUUCGUUGUGUAGCGGUGAAAUGCAUAGAUAUGACGAAGAACACCGAUUGCGUAGGCAGCUGACCAGACCGCAAAUGACGCUCAUGCACGAAAGUGCGGGGAUCGAACAGGAUUAGAUACCCUGGUAGUCCGCACAGUAAACGAUGAAUACUUGUUUUCGGCGAUAUAAUGUCGGAGGCAAGGCGAAAGCGAUAAGUAUUCCACCUGGGGAGUACGCCGGCAACGGUGAAACUCAAAGGAAUUGACGGGG